This 77-nucleotide transfer RNA is filed under the name Pseudomonadota bacterium. Its description in RNAcentral is "tRNA-His". It matches the Rfam family "tRNA". Rfam says of the family: Transfer RNA (tRNA) molecules are approximately 80 nucleotides in length. RNAcentral also lists the same sequence under 1 other name. The record is from RNAcentral. Lineage: Bacteria; Pseudomonadati; Pseudomonadota.
GCGGGAAUAGCUCAGCCGGUUAGAGCGCCAGGUUGUGGCCCUGGAGGUCGUGGGUUCGAAUCCCAUUUCUCGCCCCA